Molecule: long non-coding RNA, 1689 nt
Filed under: Canis lupus familiaris (dog)
Lineage: Eukaryota; Metazoa; Chordata; Mammalia; Carnivora; Canidae
Description: lncRNA (ENSCAFG00040018755.1)
Source: RNAcentral
AUGGAUGCAGCGGGACAGGGAGGAGCGGUUGGCUGGGACAGCGGCUUCGGCUUCCAGGCAGGGGCUGCACAGGCCGGGAGCCAAGGUCAGCCAUGGCUCCUUUGCUCCGCGGCCUUGGAAGAGCCACCCCCUCCUCCCGGGGCCUCCUGCGGGCCCUGGACGCCGCCGGGACCUAGAACCGGGCCGCUGGGGCAUUCUGAGGGCGUCUGGGGCACAUGGUUCGAGGGAGGCAGGGGAGGAGGGGAGGAGGGGGGAAGAGGGAGGGGGAAGCGGGGGCAGGGGCGCAGGGGGGCGGGGAUGGUGAGGAUGGGGGUGCGCAGGGGGACGGGAGGGGGAUGGGGCAGGGGGAGGGGGAACAGGCAGUGGGGCAAGGGGCGGGGAUGGCGGGGGGGGGGGGCCGGGCGGGGAUGGUGGGGGGGGCAGGAGAGGGAGGAAGAGGAAGCAGGGGGAGGGGGAACAGGCGGCGGGGCGCGGGGCGGGGAUGACGGGGGGGGGGCCCGGGAUGGUGAGGAUGGGGGCAGGGGGACGGGGGGGGGGGACGGGAUGGUGAGGAUGGGGCAGGGGGACGGGCGGGGCGGGGGCAGAGGGGAAGCAGGUGGUGGGGAUGGCGAGGAGGGGGGAGGAGGAGGGGUGGGGGUAACAGGCGGCGGGGCGCGGGGCAGGGGCGCGAGGUGGGGAUGGCGGGGCGGGGGUGCAGGGUGCAGCGGGCGCGGGGGGGUGGUGAGGAUGGGGGCAGGGGAGGGGGAAGCAGGGGGGAGGGGAGGGGGAAGCAGGCGGUGGGGGGAUGGCGAGGAUGGGGGCAGGGGGACGGGGACGGGGGCAGGGGGAAGCAGGUGGCGGGGAUGGCGAGGAGGGGGCGGGGGAAGCAGGGGGAGGGGCGGGCGGGGGCGCGGAGCGGGAUGGCGGGGCAGGGGCGGGGGCGCGGGGGGGCGGGUGCCGAGGGGCCGCGCGCUCCCCGCCGCCGGGCCGCUCUCCUCCGCCGCCGCCGCCGCCGCCGCCGCCUCCCCUCCCGGGCACGAGCCUCGGGCCCGCCCGCCCCCGCCCUCCGAGGCCUCGGCAGCCGGCUCCGCCCGCCCGCAGCGGGGUCUCGGCCGCCGCCGCUCCCUCCCUCCCGCGCCCCUGCAGCGGCGUCUCCGGCCCGCGGUCCGCAGCAAGCCCGAGGCGGGUAAGGCGGGGCGGAGGCGGCGCGAGGGCCCGGGGCCCGGGGAGGGUGGCGGAGGGUCGGGGAGGGUCGCGCCGCCGCCGGUCCCCGCGGCCCGAUGGGGCCCAGCGAGCGGCCCGGCCCGGCCCCGGGCUCCGCGGCGGUGGGGGGAGCGGACGGCCCCCGGGUCCCGGGCUGCGGGGCGGGGCCUGCACCGGGUCACGGCGCGCGUGUCCGCGCCGCCUGCGAGGCCAGAACGCCCUGCUCCGCCCCGGAGGGUCCGGGGGAGACGCACACCUGGUCUCCGCCACUGUGGCCUCGGGUCCUGCGGGGCCUGGAUGGGUGGUCCCGGGGCGGCCCAGGCGGCGGGGCCCAGCGCAGGUGCUCACCCCCCCCUCCCCCAUUCUUUGCUCCCGCUCCACCCCCGGGCACAGAAUAACCCCUGUCAUUCUCCAACUCACCCCUUCCUCCUUCCUGAACGGGACCCCACCCUCUCCCCAGGCCGCCUAACCCUCCCCCACCCGCGGGCCCCAGCCGUCCCACCCUGA